UUUUGCUCUCACUUCUCUUCUUCCUCUUCCUCUCCUUCUUCUUCCUCUUCCUCUUUUUUCUUCUUCGUACCCUCAUUUUUCUCCUCCUUCUUCUUUUUCAUCGUCGUCGUUGAUGAUCCGAUCGUCGUGCUUGCGUGGGCCGUCGUCAUGAGCGCUUCCGAAUCGGCCGAACCUUUGCCUUUCGCCUCGCGCUGUGCUCAGCCUCGUCCUAGUCAGUCGCAACUCCGACAAGCUCCGCAACGACGUCGCCGCUGCCGCUCGCUCCCGCAGCCCAAGAAGGAAGAGAAAGAGGAAAAUGCCAAAAAUUGAAAGGACUUUUGGAGGGACAUAUUUGUGAGAGCAAAAAUAUCAUUUCACGAAUCAUUGUUAAAAAAUAAACAGUUCUAUAACGGAUCCUAACCAGAGGGACAUAUCUGAAUACACUACAAUAAAAUUAGGUUAUAGGGACACAUUUUUUGGACACUUUUAUAUAAGUAUCCCAUUUAUGCCAAAUUUUUUAAAAAAAAUCUAUUAAGAUCUAAAUAUAAAGCCCAUUCCAAUAAAAAAUAAAAAGUUACUCUAUUCAAUCAACCACACCUGACCCACUCGGCCGAUUACAAAUAAAAAUAAAAGAAAAAAAAGAAAAAUUGAUCACUAUCUUCCUUUCUCCUCUUCCGCUGCCGCAGCUAACAAGAUAGGGUUUCGACAGCUAGUGUUCAGCCACGAGUAUAUCAUAGGAACCGUAGAGGGCUACGAUCACCACGUAUCCCUCGCCAUAGGUCGAUGAAGGAGUGGGUAUCAAAUAUCAAGGCGGCCCUACCUAUGGGGCAUGUUUGUUUCAACGAAACUGAACUUUUGGUUGAAGUGGACUUUGGGUUGAAGUGGAUUUUGGUGAAAACUACUUGUUUCCUGCUGUUUGUUUCGUAGUUAUGAAGUGAAGUUUCAUUAGUUCUGCUGUUUGUUUGGUAAGAAGUAUAUGAUAUAAAACUAUAAUUUAUAUAGGGUUAAUUACACCAAUGGUCCCUAACCUUUAUUGUUUUUCAAUUUGGUCCCCAAUCCUUUUUUUUUGCAAUCAAGUCCCUAAUCUCUUGAUUUCAUUUCAAUUAAGUCCCAGCCGUUAGAUAGCUGUUAAAAUUGACGAAAAAUGC
RNAcentral lists this long non-coding RNA (1127 nucleotides) under Ananas comosus (pineapple). Its description in RNAcentral is "long non-coding RNA (ACOM_LNC027068)". Lineage: Eukaryota; Viridiplantae; Streptophyta; Magnoliopsida; Poales; Bromeliaceae. The record is from RNAcentral.